RNAcentral lists this ribosomal RNA (323 nucleotides) under uncultured Armatimonadota bacterium. RNAcentral describes it as "bacterial SSU rRNA". It matches the Rfam family "Bacterial small subunit ribosomal RNA", at positions 1 to 337 of the family's 1533-position model. The record is from RNAcentral. Lineage: Bacteria; Bacillati; Armatimonadota.
CGACGAGUUUGAUCCUGGCUCAGGACGAACGCUUGCGGCGUGCCUAAGAAAUGCAAGUCGAACGGGGACUUCGGUCCUAGUGGCGAACGGUCGCGUAACACGUAAGCAACCUGCCCUGAAGUGGGGGACAACAUCCCGAAAGGGGUGCUAAUACCGCAUGUGGUCACGAGUCGGCAUCGACUUGUGUCUAAAAGAUUUAUCGCUUCAGGAUGGGCUUGCGGCCUAUCAGGUAGUUGGUGGGGUAAAACGCCCACCAAGCCGACGAUCUGUAGCUGGUCUGAGAGGACGACCAGCCACACUGGGACUGAGACACGGACCAGACU